RNAcentral lists this unclassified non-coding RNA (259 nucleotides) under Hevea brasiliensis (rubber tree). Lineage: Eukaryota; Viridiplantae; Streptophyta; Magnoliopsida; Malpighiales; Euphorbiaceae. The record is from RNAcentral.
AGAAUCUAAGUGUUGUAGAUUCAAGAACUUCAAGAAAGAAAACAAAAUCAAGAAGAUAGAAGAAGAAUUCCGAGAAAGGUAGAAGAGGGAAAGAAGGAAGAAAUCACGAGGAAGAAGAAGAAGAAGAAGAAAUAAAGGGAUAGAAAGGGAAGAAAGAAGAAGAGGAGGAAGAAUAAGAAGAGAGAGGAGAAAUAGAGGGAAAGCGAGAAGAGAAGUAAUAAGAAAUAAAGGGAAGAAAUCUCAGGGAAGAAGGACGAAG